Molecule: ribosomal RNA, 421 nt
Filed under: uncultured bacterium
Lineage: Bacteria
Description: partial 16S ribosomal RNA
Rfam family: Bacterial small subunit ribosomal RNA
Source: RNAcentral
AAUAUUGGACAAUGGGCGAAAGCCUGAUCCAGCCAUGCCGCGUGUGUGAAGAAGGUCUUCGGAUUGUAAAGCACUUUAAGUUGGGAGGAAGGGCUUUAGGUUAAUACCCUGAAGUUUUGACGUUACCGACCGACUAAGCACCGGCUAACUUCGGUCCAGAAGCCGCGGUAAUACGAAGGGUGCAAUGGUUAAUCGGAAUUACUGGGCGUAAAGCGCGCGUAGGUGGUUUGUUAAGUUGGAAGUGAAAGCCCCGGGCUCAACCUGGGAACUGCUUUCAAAACUGGCAAGCUAGAGUAUGGCAGAGGGUGGUGGAAUUUCCUGUGUAGCGGUGAAAUGCGUAGAUAUAGGAAGGAACACCAGUGGCGAAGGCGACUACCUGGACUGAUACUGACACUGAGGUGCGAAAGCGUGGGGAGCAAAC